UGCUUUGCACUCUUAGAAGUUAGUCUGUUCUAACCCCAGAGCCAGUAAUGGUGAACCCACUGGGGUAACUGGGAGAGAGGAUGAGAACUUAUUCCAUAAGGAACUGCCUGAGGUAC
RNAcentral lists this small nucleolar RNA (116 nucleotides) under Propithecus coquereli (Coquerel's sifaka). RNAcentral describes it as "Small nucleolar RNA SNORD22 (ENSPCOG00000003651.1)". It matches the Rfam family "Small nucleolar RNA SNORD22". From Rfam's summary of the family: U22 is a member of the C/D class of snoRNA which contain the C (UGAUGA) and D (CUGA) box motifs. U22 is encoded within the U22 snoRNA host gene (UHG) in mammals and has also been identified in Xenopus. The record is from Rfam by way of RNAcentral. Lineage: Eukaryota; Metazoa; Chordata; Mammalia; Primates; Indriidae.